This 468-nucleotide ribosomal RNA is filed under the name uncultured bacterium. RNAcentral describes it as "partial 16S ribosomal RNA". It matches the Rfam family "Bacterial small subunit ribosomal RNA", at positions 28 to 507 of the family's 1533-position model. The record is from RNAcentral.
GACGAACGCUGGCGGCGUGCUUAACACAUGCAAGUCGAACGGAAGGGCCCUGCUUUUGUGGUGUUCUCGAUUGGCGAACGGGUGAGUAACACGUGUGUAACCUGCCCUUGUCUUUGGGAUAACUUCAGGAAACUGGGGCUAAUACCGUAUAGGAUCUCCUGCUCCAUUGUGGGCGUUGGAAAUUUUCGGCGGUUGGGGUUGGACUCGCGGCUUAUGAGCUUGUUGGUCGGGUAGUGGCUUACCAAGCGUUUGACGGGUAGCCGGCCUGGGAGGGGGGCCGGGGACAUUAGGCCUGAGAGAGGGAGCAGAGUGGUACGGGAGGCAACAGUGGGAAAUAUGACCCAGUGAGAGGGCGUGUGAUGAGGAGGCGUUGCGUGCGUGAAGACGGCCUUUGGGUUGAGAACAGCUUUCGCCUGAGACGAAGCGUGAGUGACGGUAAUGAGUAAAGAAGCACCGGCUAACUACGUG